GCGCCUGUAGCUCAAAGGAGUAGAGCACUGGCCCCAUAUGCCAGAGGUGGUGGGUUCAAACCCAGCCCUGGCCA
This 74-nucleotide transfer RNA is filed under the name Otolemur garnettii (small-eared galago). It matches the Rfam family "tRNA". Rfam says of the family: Transfer RNA (tRNA) molecules are approximately 80 nucleotides in length. Their secondary structure includes four short double-helical elements and three loops (D, anti-codon, and T loops). Lineage: Eukaryota; Metazoa; Chordata; Mammalia; Primates; Galagidae. The record is from Rfam by way of RNAcentral.